AUAACAUCCGGAAACGGGUGCUAAUACCGCAUAGUUUUCUUGAUCGCAUGAUUGAGAAAGGAAAGACGGCCUUUGUGCUGUCGCUUAUGGAUGGACCCGCGGCGUAUUAGUUAGUUGGUGAGGUAACGGCUCACCAAGACGAUGAUACGUAGCCGACCUGAGAGGGUGAUCGGCCACAUUGGGACUGAGACACGGCCCAAACUCCUACGGGAGGCAGCAGUAGGGAAUCUUCCGCAAUGGACGAAAGUCUGACGGAGCAACGCCGCGUGAGUGAAGAAAAGGUUUUCGGAUCGUAAAACUCUGUUGUCAGAGAAGAACAAGUUGGAGAGUAACUGCUCCAGCCUUGACGGUAUCUGACCAGAAAGCCACGGCUAACUACGUGCCAGCCGCCGC
RNAcentral lists this ribosomal RNA (393 nucleotides) under uncultured bacterium. Its description in RNAcentral is "bacterial SSU rRNA". It matches the Rfam family "Bacterial small subunit ribosomal RNA", at positions 143 to 518 of the family's 1533-position model. The record is from RNAcentral.